AGAGCCGAGCGAAUCCCGAGCCCGGGCAGCAGAGGCCACAUGAGCUGUGGAAAGCACAUUACCUGGGACCGGGUCACCUGAGAAGAUCUUUGUAUCAGAUGUUCCUGGGAUCAGAGGCACAGUGGAAUGAGCCCCAAGUUGGAACCAGAAAGACCUCAGCAGGUAGCAGACCUGAAGUGCAAGUGAAAGAAGCCAAUCUUAGAAGGCUGCAUACUGUAUGAUUCCACCUAUUUGACCUUCUGAAAAAGGCAAAGCUACAGAGACAGAAAAAAAGGCACAAAGAUGACCUUGCACAUCUGCUGCGGAUGGCACUUCCACCCAGCUGUCCCCAGCACAGCAUUGACUUGUCGAGAGCUGUCCUUUGAGUCUGAUGGAUUAUUGAGACUUUUUGAAUGCAGGAAGCACACUCAUGGGGCCAUCCGAGGGCCUUGCAUUAUUUUUCUGCCUUUGAAAAGCCACUGAACUAAAUUUGGCAGAUAAAAAUGUGCCUGAGAGAUUUCUUUCUUAAUUUGCUGAUUAUGAGCCCUGACCUCAGGGAGCUUACAGUCUAGAGUAGAUGGUAUGUGAGCAUAAACCACUAUAACACAAGGUAAACUAUGAUUCAUAGUCUGGGAGAGGUACAGUUGAAGUGGGCAAGAGAGAGAGGAAAUCCAGCCCCUCCCCACUGGCCUCAAGUGGAAGCAGUGACACCAGUUCUGAAAGUUUGGAUUGGAGAGCCAGGUAGGAGUGAGACUCCUACCCACUCCUAUGAAAUAUGUUCUGGGCCAGGCGCGGUGGCUCACGCCUGUAAUCCCAGCACUUUGGGAGCCCGAGGCAGGCGGAUCACGAGGUCAAGAGAUCAAGACCAUCCUAGCCAACAUGGUGACACCCCGUCUCUAUUAAAGAUACAAAAAUUAGCCGGGUGUGGUAGCAGGCGCCUAUAGUCCCAGCUACUCGGGAGGCUGGGGCAGGAGAAUCGCUUGAACCUGGGAGGCGGAGAUUGCAGUGAGCCGAGAUCACACCACUGCACUCCAGCCUGGUGACAGAGCGAGACUCCGUCUCAAAAAUAAAAAAUGAAAGAAAGAAAGAAAGAUGUUCCAAGCAGAGAGAAUUCCAUAAGCAGAGGCAGAGAGGUGAAUAAUUGUGGGUGCACAUGCACUAGGAACAGAUAGGUGGCUGGAGCACAGUGUAGAGAAGGAUAAGGAAUGGCUUAAAAGGCUGGGGCCAGAUGGUGGAAGGCUCUGAAUUCCUGGCCAAGGAAUUGAGAGCGUGUUCAGUAAGCAGUAGGCACCUCUGCGUGUUUGAGUCAGGGAAUGAGCAGAUCACACUGCGCUUCAGAAGAGUCACCAGGUGGCAGCGUAUAGGAUGUGCCUGAAGCACCGGGCGCGGUGGCUCACGCCUGUAAUCCCAGCACUUUGGGAGGCUGAGGCGGGCAGAUCACAAGGUCAGGAGAUCGAAACCAUCCUAGCUAACACGAUGAAACCCCGUCUCUACUAAAAAUACAAAAAAUGAGCCAGACGCGGUGGCGGCUGCCUGUAGUCCCAGCUACACGGGAGGCUGAGGCAGGAGAAUGGCAUGAACCUGGGAGGCGGAGCGUGCGGUGAGCUGAGAUCGUGCCACUGCACUCCAGCCUGGGCGACAGAGCGAGACUCUGACUCAAAAAAAAAAAAAAAAAGAAAGAAAAAGAAAAGGAUGUGCCUGAAGCAAGAUGCCCAGCGGUAAGAACACCCAUCAGGAGGCUACUUCAAGGCAGUUACAAGGACCCAGACAGUUGGAAGCUGUCUCUUCUGCCUCUGCACUCCCAUGGCCCUUUAUCAGUACUUCUCUUAGGUACUUACCAAUUUUUACCUUAUCUACAUUUUUAAUUAAAAAUAGUUGUAGUUCAUUAUAAAGGAAAAUUAGACAGUAUAGAAAAAUAUAAAUAGUUGUAAUCCCACCAUCCAUUAAAUAACUACUGUUGACACUC
This 1945-nucleotide small RNA is filed under the name Pan troglodytes (chimpanzee). RNAcentral's name for it is "processed transcript". The record is from RNAcentral. Lineage: Eukaryota; Metazoa; Chordata; Mammalia; Primates; Hominidae.